RNAcentral lists this ribosomal RNA (482 nucleotides) under Pseudolycoriella sp. II AK-2019. RNAcentral describes it as "partial 16S ribosomal RNA". The record is from RNAcentral. Lineage: Eukaryota; Metazoa; Arthropoda; Insecta; Diptera; Sciaridae.
GUCUUUUUGUAUUUAAUAUAAAGUAUAACCUGCCCAUUGAAAUUGUUUAAAAGGCUGCGGUAUCUUAACCGUACAAAGGUAGCAUAAUCAUUAGUUUUUUAAUUGAGAACUCGUAUGAAUGGUUGAAUGAGAAAUAAACUUUUUUAAAUAAAGAAUUGAAUUUUACAUUUUAAUUAAAAGGUUAAAAUGAAUUUAAAAGACGAGAAGACCCUAUAGAGUUUAAUAAUUUAUUGAAAUUUUUUAAAAAAAAAUUAGUAGAAAUUUAUUUAAAUAAAUUAUUUUAUUGGGGUGAUAUUAAAAUUUUAUAAACUUUUAUUUUUUUUUACAUUAAUAUAUGAUUGAAUGAUCCAUUAUUAAUGAUUAAAAGUUUAAAUUACCUUAGGGAUAACAGCGUAAUUUUUUUUUUAAGUUCAUAUUAAUAAAAAAUUUUGCGACCUCGAUGUUGGAUUAAGAUUUAAUUUUAGGUGCAGAAGUUUAAAAUU